AGCCAUGCAGUAAGUACAGAGCAAACUAUUCUUUCACCUUUUACUAAAGAAUAUCGUGUGUGUGCUGCUUUAAGCGGCAUGCGUGUUUGUUUGUUUGUUUUUUUGAGAGGGU
Small nuclear RNA from Prosopis cineraria, 112 nucleotides. RefSeq annotates it as U5 spliceosomal RNA. The record is from RefSeq and is a predicted model, not a curated record. Lineage: Eukaryota; Viridiplantae; Streptophyta; Magnoliopsida; Fabales; Fabaceae. The transcript has a single exon.